CCUACGGGGGGCAGCAGUGAGGAAUAUUGGUCAAUGGGCGGAAGCCUGAACCAGCCAAGUCGCGUGAGGGAUUAAGGCCCUGCGGGUCGUAAACCUCUUUUGCCGGGGAGCAGUGGUCCGGACGCGUCCGGACCGGGAGAGUACCCGGAGAAAAAGCAUCGUCUAACUCCGUGCCAGCAGCCGCGGUAAUCCGGAGGAUGGGAGCGUUAUCGGGAUUUAUUGGGUUUAAGGGGUGCGAAGGCGGGCAUUUAGGCCGGCGGUCAAAUGUCGGGGUUCAACCACGGCCUGCCGUUGGAACUGGGUGCCUUGAGUGGGCGAGAGGUAUGCGGAAUGCGUGGUGUAGCGGUGAAAUGCAUAGAUAUCACGCAGAACCCCGAUUGCGAAGGCAGCAUACCGGCGCCCUACUGACGCUGAGGCACGAAAGUGCGGGUAUCGAACAGGAUUAGAUACCCUGGUAGUC
This 460-nucleotide ribosomal RNA is filed under the name uncultured bacterium. RNAcentral describes it as "partial 16S ribosomal RNA". It matches the Rfam family "Bacterial small subunit ribosomal RNA", at positions 338 to 795 of the family's 1533-position model. The record is from RNAcentral.